Long non-coding RNA from Acinonyx jubatus (cheetah), 4307 nucleotides. RefSeq lists it as uncharacterized. Lineage: Eukaryota; Metazoa; Chordata; Mammalia; Carnivora; Felidae. The transcript has 2 exons. The record is from RefSeq and is a predicted model, not a curated record.
UGUGCUUUUUAAAACACCUUUAUUAAGAUUUAAUUCACAUGCCAUAUAAUUCACCCACUCAAAGUACACAACUUAGUGCUUUCGGCCUAUUCACAGAACGUGCAAACACCAUCGCAAUUAAUUUGGAACAUUUUCAUCACCCCAAAAAGAAAUCCCUAGGAGUCACCCUCUCCGUUUUCCUUCUUAACCCCUCCCCCAGCUGUCUACAACCGCUCAUCUCCUUUCUUUUUGUACCUAUUUGCCUGUUCCAGACAUUUCGUGUAAAUGGAAUCGUACAUCACAUUGUUCUUUGUCACUGGCUUCCACCGGCUUCUUUCACUUAGCAAAAAACAUUGUUUCAAGGGGUGUCCGUGUUGGAGCACGUAUCAGUCUGUCAUUUUCUUUUUUUAUUGCCCAGUACUAUUAUGUACAUUGGAUGGGUAGACCGGGUUUCAUUUUCAUUUUAUCCAUGCAGUCCAUGGAAGACGUCUGGGUUGUUUCCAUUUGGGGCUAUUAUGAAUAAUGCCUCGAUGGAAUCAUGUGCAAGUUUUUGUAUGAACAUGUGUCUUCAUUUCCCUUGGACAUAUACCUAGGAGUGGAAAGGCUGAGUCAUAUGCUAACUUCAUGUUUAUCCUUUUGAGGAACUAACUACCAGAAUGUUUUCCAAAGCAGCUAGCUGCAUCAUUCAGCACACCAUCAGUAGCGUAUGAGACUUUCAGCUUCUCCACAUGUGUACCAGCAUUUAAUGUCUUUUUUAUCAUAGCCAUUCUAGUGGGUGUGACGUUGUAUCUCUUUGUGGUUUUGAUUUGCAUUUCCCCGAUGACUGAUGAUGCUGAGGAUCUUUUCAUGUAUUUAUGGGCCACGUGUGUAUCUUCCUUGGAGAAGUCUCUGUUCAUAUGUUUUGCCCAAUUUUUAAUUGGGUUUUUUAUCUUUUUAUUAUCGAGUUGUAGGAGUCCUUUAUGUAUUCUAAAUACAAGCCCUUUAUCAGAUGUAUGAUUUGCAAAAGUUUCCUCCCAUUCUAUUGAUUCUCUUUUCACUUUCUUUUUUUUUUUUUAAUGUUUAUUUUUGAGAGAGAGAGAGAGAGAGAGAGAGGGAGACACAGAACCUGAAGCAGGCUCCAGGCUUUUGCUGCUUGUGUUUUAGAUAUCAUGGCUAAGAAACUGUUGCCUAAUCCAAAGUCACAAAGAUGUAUACCUGUUUUUUCCUAAGAUUGUUUAUUUAUUUAUUUUUAAUUUUUUAAUGUUUAUUUAUUAUUGAGAGACAGAGAGAGACAGAGCAUGAGCAUGGGAGGGGCAGAGAGAGGGAGAGACACAGAAUCUGAAGCAGGCUCCAGGCUCUGAGCUGUCAGCACAGAGCCCGACGUGGGGUUCUAACUCACAAAUCAUGAGACCAUGACCUGAGCCGAAGUUGGACGCCCAACCGACUGAGCCACCCACGUGCCCCUCUAAGAUUUUUUAAAUAGUUUCAGCUCUAACAUUUAGGUCUUUGAUCAUUUUGAGUUAGUUUUCAUAUACAGUGUGAGGUAGGGAUCCGACUUCAUUAUUUCACAUGUGGAUGUCCAGUUAUCCCAGUACUGUUUGUUGAAAAGACUAUUCUUUCCCCACAGAAUUGUCUGGGCAUCAUUGUCGAAAAUCAACUGACUGCAUUAAACCUUUAGAUGUAUUAUUUAAACCUACAUUAACCCUGUGAGGUAGAGACUAUUAUCAGUGUCGCCUUAUAGAUGAAGGCCCUAAGGCCAAGAGAGAUUAUGUGACUGGCCCAUUAUCACACAGCUAGCUGGUGGUGUGGCUGCAAUUCAAACCCAGGGUUACUUUGAGCAUUAAAUGAGUAAAAUAUAUAUCAAACACAUAUAGCGAGUAUUGCAUAAAUUUUAUUUAUUAUUAAAACAAAAUUUUUUUGAUAUUUAUUUAUUUCUGAGAGAGAGACAGAGCACGAGCGGGGGAGGGACAGAGAGAGAGGGAGACACCGAAUCUGAAGCAGGCUCCAGGCUCUGUGAUGUCAGCACAGAGCCUGACUCGGGGCUCGAACUCACCAGCCGUGAGAUCAUGACCUGAGCUGAAGUCGGACGCCUAACGGACUGAGCCACCACCCAGGCGCACUGUUUAUCAUUAUUUUCAUCAUCAUUGCCCCAGAGUGUUCAAAUCUCCCAUCACUUGUUUUUGAAAUACAUGACAGCUGUCAAGAGAAAUGGAACAAUUUUGCUUGUUGUUUUUCCUUUUCUUUUAUCAUUUUCUGGAUAAUGAACUAACCCUCUAGUAGCUGUUGGUGAUGACUAAUGAGGUUUCUUUGUUAGUACCAUUCUGAACUCACAGAUUUUUAAAUACUUGAUGUGUUUAAAUUUUUUGUCAAUUUUUUUUAUUUACCAACUUAACCAUUUUUUAAAUUUUAUUUAUUUAUUUUUGAGAGAGAGAGAGAGCAUGAGUGAGCAAGGGGCAGAGAAUCCCACGAAGGCUCCCCACUGUCAGUACGGAGCCCGAGCGGGGCACAAACUCACCUGAUGCAGGCCUCAAGCUCACCAACUGUGAGAUCAUGAACUGAGCCGAAGCUGGAUGCUUAACUGACUGAGCCACCCAGGCAUCCCUCUUUGUCAGUAUUCUUUUGGACAAAUCAUAUUGUCCCUGAUUUUUCCAAUGAGAACGCCUUCAAGUGGCUUCUGUGUCCUUUCAGGGGCGGCUCGGUGGCUCCGUUGGUUAAGCGUCCGACUUCAGCUCAGUUUGUGAUCUUGUGGUUCGUGAGUUCGAGCCCCAUGUCAGGCUCUGUGCUCACAGCUCAGAGCUUGGAGCCUACUUUGGAUUCUUUGUCUCCCUUUCUCUCUGUCCUUCCCCUGCUCGCACUCUGUCUCUCUCUCUCUCCCUCAAAAUAAAUAAACUUAAAAAUAAAUUUAUAAAAGUGACUUCUGUGUCCUUUCAAUAUAGCCUCAUCAUUCUUUAAGCAUUGCCUUACCAGCACUACAAGACAUUCCAGCCUCAUCUUGUCCUUUCUCUAAGGAGCUCUGGUUUCUUUAUCACAAGAAUGAUGUUUAGAAGCUGUCUUAGUCAGCUCAGGUUGCUAUGACAAAAUUCCAUAGACUGGUGGUGUACAAUAGAUAUUUAUUUCUCAUAGUUCCGGUGGCUCCAAAGUCCAAGAUAAGGUAUUAAUAGACUUGGCUUCCGGUGAGGGCCCUCUUCCUGGGUUGCAGACAGCUGCCUUCUUGCUGGAUCCUCACAUAGUGGCCAGAGAGCUCUGGUCUCUCUUCCUCUUAUAAAGACACAAAUCCCAUCAUGGGGUCCCCACCCUCAUGAGCUCAUCAAAACCUAAUUACCUCCCAAAGGCUCCAUCUCCAAAUACCAUCACAUUGGAGGCUAGAGCUUUGGCAUAUGAAUUUAGGGGGGUAGGGCACAAACAUUUAGUCCAUAACAGAGACCACAAUUAAUAAUUUUUUAAAUAUCAUCAUUUCCAUACACCCAAACAUUAACAACCUUUGCCAUUGUUUAGAACAAAGGAAGAAAUAUGUUGGCUGUGAACUUAUUUUAUUUAUUUAAAAAAAAUUUUUUUAAUGUUUAUUGAUUUUUUGAGAGAGAGAGAGAAAGAGAGAGACAGAGACAGAGACAGAGCGUGAGCGGGGGAGGUACAGAGAGAGAGGGAGACACAGAAUCCGAAGCAGGGUCCAGGCUCGCAUUGUCAGCACAGAGCCUGACUCGGGGCUUGAAUCCACAAACUGUGAGAUCACGACCUGAGCUGAAGUUGGACGCUUAACCGACUGAGCCACUGUUGGUUGUGAACUUUAAAAUAGGUGUGUAUGUGUGGAGACACAGUUACUCAAAAUUCUUUGGGACUGGACGUACCAAGACGAUGUUCAAAAUCUUGAAUGACCACUUAGGGCCCUGCCCUUCAGAAGUAAGCCUGGGGACCAAUCCCAGCAUUGGGCAACCUUUGGGGAACUCAUGUUUUCCUCUGUACCUCAUUUUCCUCCAUGGAUGGGGGGCAUAGACCGGUGUGAUGCCAGGCUUUAACCCUUUAGUUGCUGGAGGGUGGAGAAGUCUGGGCAGUUCUGGGGGAGGCCCUUGGAGGCAUCAGGGCAGGUUAUUUAUAAACGGGCAUGAAGGUAUUGUCCUAUUUUAACAACCAGCUAAAUGUCAACUGUGAGUAUGCCAGCAAAAAUAUUUAAAGACUGGGGUGCCUGUGUGGCUCAGCGGGUUGAGCGUCUGACUUUAGCUCAGGUCGUGAUAUCACGGUUCUGAACGUGAGUUCAAACCCUGCAUCGGGCUCUCUGCUGUCAGCACUGAGCACUGCUUUGGAUCUUCUGUCCUCUCUCUCUCUCUGCCCCUCCCCAACUUGCUCUCUCUCUC